GACGAACGCUGGCGGCGUGCCUAAUACAUGCAAGUCGAACGCACAGUUUAUGCCGUAGCUUGCUACACCAUAGACUGUGAGUUGCGAACGGGUGAGUAACGCGUAGGUAACCUGCCUGGUAGCGGGGGAUAACUAUUGGAAACGAUAGCUAAUACCGCAUAAUAUUAAUUAUUGCAUGAUAAUUAAUUGAAAUGUGCAAUUGCACCACUACCAGAUGGACCUGCGUUGUAUUAGCUAGUAGGUGAGGUUACGGCUCACCUAGGCGACGAUACAUAGCCGAACUGGAGGGGGGACCGGCCACACUGGGACUGAGAACCGGCCCAGACUCCUUCGGGAGGCAGCAGGAGGGAAUCUUCGGCAAUGGACGAAAGGCUGACCGGGCAACGCCGCGGGAGUGAAGAAGGGUUUCGGAUCGUAAAGCUCUGUUGUAAGAGAAGAACGGGUGUGAGAGUGGAAAGUUCACACUGUGACGGUAUCUUACCAGAAAGGGACGGCUAACUACGUG
This 505-nucleotide ribosomal RNA is filed under the name uncultured bacterium. RNAcentral's name for it is "partial 16S ribosomal RNA". It matches the Rfam family "Bacterial small subunit ribosomal RNA", at positions 28 to 507 of the family's 1533-position model. The record is from RNAcentral.